RNAcentral lists this ribosomal RNA (484 nucleotides) under uncultured bacterium. RNAcentral's name for it is "partial 16S ribosomal RNA". It matches the Rfam family "Bacterial small subunit ribosomal RNA", at positions 30 to 507 of the family's 1533-position model. The record is from RNAcentral.
AUUGAACGCUGGCGGCAGGCCUAACACAUGCAAGUCGAGCGGAUGAAGGGAGCUUGCUCCUGGAUUCAGCGGCGGACGGGUGAGUAAUGCCUAGGAAUCUGCCUUGUCGUGGGGGAUAACGUCCGGAAACGGGCGCUAAUCCCGCAUACGUCCUGAGGGAGAAAGUGGGGGAUCUUCGGACCUCACGCUAUCAGAUGAGCCUAGGUCGGAUUAGCUAGUUGGUGGGGUAAAGGCCUACCAAGGCGACGAUCCGUAACUGGUCUGAGAGGAUGAUCAGUCACACUGGAACUGAGACACGGUCCAGACUCCUACGGGAGGCAGCAGUGGGGAAUAUUGGACAAUGGGCGAAAGCCUGAUCCAGCCAUGCCGCGUGUGUGAAGAAGGUCUUCGGAUUGUAAAGCACUUUAAGUUGGGAGGAAGGGCAGUAAGUUAAUACCUUGCUGUUUUGACGUUAGCAACAGAAUAAGCACCGGCUAACUUCGUG